AUGACGUAUCUCACAGCGUCCGGCUCUGAGUUAACCGGAGGGAGCAUGUGGGUCUGCGGGGCGCGAACCCCGGCUCAGCUGGGGCGGCGGCUAUUACCCGCGUUCCGCCGCCGCCGGCCUGCUGCCGCCGCCUUCUCCGCAUCUGCCGAGCCCUCCCGGGUCCGGGCGCUGGUCUAUGAGCACCACGGGGACCCAGCCAAGGUCGUCGAACUGAAGAACGUGGAGCUGGCUGCUGUGGGCGGAUCAGACGUCCAUGUGAAGAUGCUGGCAGCCCCUGUCAAUCCAUCUGACAUUAAUAUGAUCCAAGGAAAUUAUGGCCUCCUUCCCAAGCUGCCUGCUGUUGGAGGGAAUGAAGGUGUUGGACAGGUCGUAGCAGUGGGCAGCAGUGUGACCAGGGUGAAGCCAGGAGACUGGGUGAUUCCAGCGAAUGCUGGUUUGGGAACCUGGCGGACCGAGUCUGUGUUCAGCGAGGAAGCGCUCAUCUCCGUUCCGAGCGACAUCCCUCUUCAGAGCGCCGCCACCCUGGGCGUCAACCCCUGUACGGCCUACCGGAUGCUGAUGGACUUUGAGCAGCUGCGGCCAGGGGAUUCUGUCAUCCAGAAUGCAUCCAACAGUGGAGUGGGUCAAGCAGUCAUCCAGAUCGCCGCAGCCCUUGGCCUGAGGACCAUCAACGUGGUCCGAGACAGACCUGACAUCCAGAAGCUGACCGACAGACUGAAGAAUCUGGGGGCCCAUCAUGUUGUCACAGAAGAGGAACUAAGAAAGCAUGAGAUGAAAAACUUCUUUAAGGAUGUGCCCCAGCCUCAGCUUGCUCUCAACUGUGUCGGCGGGAAAAGCUCCACGGAGCUGCUGCGGCACUUGGCGCCUGGAGGAACCAUGGUGACCUAUGGGGGGAUGGCCAAGCAGCCUGUCGUCGCCUCUGUGAGCCUGCUCAUUUUUAAGGAUCUCAAACUUCGGGGCUUUUGGUUAUCCCAGUGGAAGAAGGACCACAGUCCAGACCAGUUCAAGGAGCUGAUCCUCACGCUGUGCGAUCUCAUCCACCGAGGCCAGCUCACGGCCCCUGCCUGCUCCGAGGUCCCACUGCAGGACUACCAGCGUGCCUUAGAAGCAUCCAUGCAGCCUUUCGUGUCUUCCAAGCAGAUCCUCACCAUGUGAUGUGAUAAUCCCAGAGGAGCCGGAGCCAAGUGGGAGGGGAGACGGAUCAGCAGGACUGGUUUCGGGCCCCCCAGUUGGGGCCCUCCGCCUUCCGCAGUCUGCUCCUCUCCCCACCGCCACUUCUGAGUCGGAGAAUUGGGAGGCCAGCCAAGGCUCUCCCUGGGGCCAGCCCCCGGGUAUCUAAUAAAGUCCGAACUUCCUAAAAAAACAAACAAAAAAAACCAAUAGAAGUCACCCCUAAUAAGAAGGACCAUCCCUUGCCAGCUCCCAGCACUAGAAGCCCCCCUUACCUACCCUCCACCUAUCCUCCAGCCAUCACUUCCUGACAGCCCUGAAAGCAAAGCCUUGGCGGGGCUGGCAGGUACAAAAGCCAGUAAAACAGAUCUCUGCCCUCAAGCCCUUCAAGCCCACAGAGGAGAAUCUUCUGAAAAGGAAGGUUUGACUCAUUCUCAGGUGGCCUUCGGCUCAAUCUGGGACAGGGGGAGGAUCAGCUCCACAGAGGAGUGAAUGCCAGGCUGAGAAACCAAGGAAAUGGGGUCUCAGGUGCCUGGGCCAUCCUCAUGGAACUUCCAUUCUAACUGGGGAGAUAGAUGUUACACCAGUGGUCCUCAACCUGAGCUCAUUUUACUCCCAGGGGACACUGGUUAUCAUAUUUGAGGGGGUGUUACUAGUGCCUAGUGAGCAGAGGCCAGUGAUGCUGCUACAGCGUCCUACAGCGCACAGCACAGCCUCCCUCAGCAGGGGCUUAUCCAGCCCAAAUGUCCACAGUGCCGCUGUUGAGAAACCCCGCAUCAAACCACUGGUCCCACGACAGUUACCAUAGUGAUGAGUGUGCAAAAGAAGACACGCGUGAGGUGCGGUGAGCGCCUAACCAAGAUCCUGUCCUAGGCCUCCCUGAGGUGAAGCUUGAAAGUGGGCCCUGAAAAAUGAGUAGCUUUAUUCAGACAAAGAGAAGAGUUUGACACUAUGUGAGUUUUUGGUGUUUGCUUCAUGAUCCACUCACUCAAAGCAAAGAACCAGAGGCUUUGGGGUGUCUCCCUCAUCACCUGGCCCUCUGUCCCUGAGCUCUAGAGCCUCACUGCGGGGGGACUUACUGAGAGCCUAGCAUGUGCCUGAGGCCAGGGCUGCCCGUGAGUGACGCGGGGCUGGCCCGCAAGUAGCUAAGCCUAGUGCACAGCAUACUCAUGAGGCCGCUGAUACGGAGGUGUUCGGAGGGCCGUGGGGACACAGCAGCUCUGCCUGAGGGUUUAAGGAAGGCCUCCCAGAGGAAGUAUGGUCACAGCCAAUCUUAAGGCCCAGCAGGAGAAGGUGUACCAAGCAAAGCCAACAGCACUUGUGAGAGUCUGGCAGCCCUGGAGAGCCUAGCAGUCGGGGAACUGCCCACAGGUAAGUAUAGCUGCUGCCUAGGACGUGGGGGGAGUAUGAAGACUGAGAUGGGAGCAGUGGGCAGCAGUCAGAGCAGGAAGGCUCAGGACUUGCCCCCAAGACAUGGGGGAGGCACUGAGGGAUUUUAGGCCGUGGAGUGAUGUGGAAAACUGGCUCUGAAGGCUAGUUACAUGCCAGCACGUACCUGGGCCCCGGCAUCAUCCUCUUGUCUUCGGGAGCAUCUUGUGUGUCCUCUGGAGAAAAGGACUCGGCUGCAUCCUGGGGCUGGGAAAGGUCUACAGGUGCUCUCUGGGUAAGAUUUGCCUCCUUGUACACCUGGGCUCAGAAGCAGCCGCAGCUCACCCAAGUCCCUCCCGUUCUGUAUCCUCAAGAUCAGUGGGAUGGAUGAUUUGUGCAGUUGGUCAAUGGGGGAAAGUGCAAAAAGUCUUGAGAGGGAGCGGGAGGCUGCCCAGAGCCUACAGGAGUGAAAGUUAGGAUUAGGUUCUGCAGGGGGACUCCACAAGGUUGGGCUUAGGGGAUGCGAUGAGCCUGCAGCCAUGGAGAAGGAUCGGGCCCCUGGUAGAGACUCAUAGUGGGCAGACAGGUGGGAGGAAGGUUCAUAACACCACAUCACAGUUAGAGACCUCGGGGGUGUGCAGAGUGUCCCGGGAAUAGUACCUCUGGGGGUCUGGAGCUGAUUUUUUUUUUUUUUUUUUUUUUUUUUUUUUGGCUGCUCCAUUUGGCAUGAGGGAUGUUAGUUCCCCGACCAGGGAUCAAAAUCAUGGCCCCUGCAUUGGGGGCACGGAGUCUUAACCACUGGACCGCCAGGGAAGUCCCUGGAGCUGGAGCUGAUCUUGGGCUUUAAAGGAUGAUAGUAUUUUCUCAGGCAGGGGAGGGAGACAAGCAUUACAGACUAAGGGACCAGGCUAAGUUAUAGAGGCAGAACAUUUAUGUCAGAAUCUUCUCGUUUUCCCCAAAUACCAUUCUAUUGCUAAGAAUUAAAACUGAUGACUCUUAGGCGGGCACAUGGUGGGCUGGAAUAAACAGUUUCCCUGCCUCCCUUGCAGCUGACAAGCUCUGGCACAUGUGAUGUAAGCAGAGGUGCUAGGUGUCCAUUUCUUAGGAACCUCUUUAAAAUAUAGCUGGCACCCAUCCUGUACCCUUUCCUUCCCCUUUCACCUUCCUCCUGGCUGGGAUACAAACAUGGAAUUUGCACAUCCACCUUUGACCAUGUUGAGAAUGGGACAGCGGCAAGAUCAAAGGAGCCUGCGUCCCUGAGACCCAGAAACACUGACUGCCCACCUGAGGACUUGAGAAAUAAGCUUCUGUGUUAUUUAAGCCCCUAGUGUUUGGGCUUUCUCUGAACCUAAUCAUAAAUGAUACAUAUUCUAUGAUUUAAUUUAUAUUGAAAUCCUGUCAAUCCAUCUGAAGCUGAAAAUUUCACAAAAUCACAGUCUGAAUUGUGGCAGUGUGUGAUUCCCAGCUAAGGAAUUUGGACUUCACCCUACUGGCAGUAGGGAACAAAAGAUUUCUGAGCCAGAAGAUCAGAACUGUGGUUCAGAAAAAUCCCUCUGGCAGCAACCUGGGGGGACAAUUUGGAGAAGGGAGGUGCUAAAGGAAGAGAUAAUCAGAAAUUCCCAGAUAAGUAAAGUCUCCCUAAAUUUUGAAGACCAACAUAGGGAUUACCAACAUUUAAUGAGGCCAGCAGAGGAAAGGAGCUUGAGGCAAAACAAUGUCAAAAGGGAAUCUGACUUAAGAUGGAUCAUCGCUUCCCUACUUAACAAGUACAGGAGAUUGUUUUUCAUUUUCAGGCUGAAUAAUCUCUCUGUGGAGUUGGGACAGCUCUUCGGGCCCACUAAGUAAACAAUAUACUUUUUAAGUGGCUGAAGGAGGAACUCUGGCUCCAGGAGACCAAAGGAGGACAAUCAGGCAUGACCUCCUAAACCAAAGCUUGGGUGCACCUGAAGCCCUGAGGCUUCAUGACUGGCUCUCCCUGUUGUCUUCUGGAAUCAUCCACCCUUCAACUGCCUACAGCCACUGUCAUAAUAUUGAUGACUGUCUGGUGUCUUGGGACACCAAUUAACCCUGCUUUCCUCAGGGAAAAAACCGAUGCCCGGAAGAAAGAGGUUCUUGCAUUAGCCUGUGUGCCAGGCAUCUCUGCCCUGGUACCUGGAAGCUGUCAGCAGCUCCCGCCAGCCCCAUGCUUAUUGACAGGUACCAUGCCCUGGGUAGGACGCUGGGCCCAGCUUGGGCAGCUGGAGGAAAUGGUGGAAGAAGAGAAACUCAGUCCUGGCACAGCAUCUGCCUGCAUCUGAAGGCAGGAAGAUCCUGGGAAGACAGAGGGCCCACCCGCAGAAGAGGAAGAUGCUGAGAGAGGAAGUGAGCUGCUCAAGGUCACAUACCAGGAAGCAAGCUGGCACCAGAGGCCAGGUCCCCUGACCCUGUCUGGUCAGCAUGCCAGUCAACCCCAGUUCCUCUGGCCCCACAGUUGGACUUUGAGCUCCCUCUUUUCUCAGGACUCCUUGAUUUUGUUCAGUAAUAAUUGACAUGUCACUCAGAAUUUCCCUGAGUCUGUGUCUCACGGGGAAGCAUGAAAAAAAGCAGGAGGCCACUGAAGUAAUCCAGGUGAGAACUCAUUCACUUAUUAAUUCGGUAAAUAGUUUGAACACCCGCUAUGUGAAAAGCACUGUCAGAAGUGCCAGGGAUACAGCAGGAGCCAAACAUCGUGGCCCAUGAUACCAGGAAGCUUACAUUCUAGUGGAGGAGAAAGACAGUGAACAAGUGAAUAAAUGAGGUAAUUACAGAGUGUAGCAAGCGCUGUGAAAGGAAAAAUAAAGUGAUAUCAUAGUGAUGGGGGGUACUUGAGAGAAGGUGGGCAAGGAAGGUCUGAGUCCUGAAUAAGAAGUCAGCCAUGUUCCAGGCAGGGGGAGCAGCAUGUUAAAGCCCUGAUGUGUGAACAGUAUGACGAGGCCUGAACUGGCUUAGCUAAGUGGGAGUGAAGUGAAUGGAUUCGUGAAUAUUUAGAAGGAAGAAUCAACAAGAUAGAGUGAAUGAGGUGCGUGAAGGUGGAACUUUGGCACCUUCCUGGAAGGAGGUGCCACUCCCUGAGUUAGCAAGCUCCAGAAGAGGAGCAGGUUUUGGAGACAGGUAUAUCGGUGGGCAGGGUUCUUUCCCAUCUGUACAAUAGGUUGAGCAGAUUAUUUAACAACCAAGUUUAGCACUGGUUCUUCAUAAUACAGGUACUAUGAUCCUCACACUUUACAAAAUACCAAACGGAUCAGGACUGCAGCAUAAAAAUCAGUUCUAAAAGUAACAGAAUAAACCAUGGGAGGUUUUGUUUGUUUGACUACGCC
Molecule: RNA transcript, 5873 nt
Organism: Mesoplodon densirostris (Blainville's beaked whale)
Lineage: Eukaryota; Metazoa; Chordata; Mammalia; Artiodactyla; Ziphiidae
Gene: MECR
Gene name: mitochondrial trans-2-enoyl-CoA reductase
Exons: 11
Source: RefSeq, a predicted model, not a curated record